GAUGAACGCUGGCGGCGUGCCUAAUACAUGCAAGUCGAGCGAACGGACGAGAAGCUUGCUUCUCUGAUGUUAGCGGCGGACGGGUGAGUAACACGUGGAUAACCUACCUAUAAGACUGGGAUAACUUCGGGAAACCGGAGCUAAUACCGGAUAAUAUUUUGAACCGCAUGGUUCAAAAGUGAAAGUCGGUCUUGCUGUCACUUAUAGAUGGAUCCGCGCUGCAUUAGCUAGUUGGUAAGGUAACGGCUUACCAAGGCAACGAUGCAUAGCCGACCUGAGAGGGUGAUCGGCCACACUGGAACUGAGACACGGUCCAGACUCCUACGGGAGGCAGCAGUAGGGAAUCUUCCGCAAUGGGCGAAAGCCUGACGGAGCAACGCCGCGUGAGUGAUGAAGGUCUUCGGAUCGUAAAACUCUGUUAUUAGGGAAGAACAUAUGUGUAAGUAACUGUGCACAUCUUGACGGUACCUAAUCAGAAAGCCACGGCUAACUACGUG
RNAcentral lists this ribosomal RNA (497 nucleotides) under uncultured bacterium. RNAcentral describes it as "partial 16S ribosomal RNA". It matches the Rfam family "Bacterial small subunit ribosomal RNA", at positions 28 to 507 of the family's 1533-position model. The record is from RNAcentral.